GACGAACGCUGGCGGCGUGCUUAACACAUGCAAGUCGAACGAAGAGCGAUGGAAGCUUGCUUCUAUCAAUCUUAGUGGCGCACGGGUGAGUAACGCGUAAUCAACCUGCCCUUCAGAGGGGGACAACAGUUGGAAACGACUGCUAAUACCGCAUACGAUCUAAUCUCGGCAUCGAGGAUAGAUGAAAGGUGGCCUCUACAUGUAAGCUAUCACUGAAGGAGGGGAUUGCGUCUGAUUAGCUAGUUGGAGGGGUAACGGCCCACCAAGGCGAUGAUCAGUAGCCGGUCUGAGAGGAUGAACGGUCACAUUGGGACUGGGACACGGCCCAGACUCCUACGGGAGGCAGCAGUGGGGAAUCUUCCGCAAUGGACGAAAGUCUGACGGAGCAACGCCGCGUGAGUGAUGACGGCCUUCGGGUUGUAAAGCUCUGUUAAUCGGGACGAAAGGCCUUCUUGCGAAUAGUGAGAAGGAUUGACGGUACCGGAAGAGAAAGCCACGGCUAACUACGUG
Molecule: ribosomal RNA, 510 nt
Filed under: uncultured bacterium
Lineage: Bacteria
Description: partial 16S ribosomal RNA
Rfam family: Bacterial small subunit ribosomal RNA
Source: RNAcentral